Non-coding RNA from Oryza sativa Japonica Group (Japanese rice), 1325 nucleotides. The record is from RefSeq and is a predicted model, not a curated record. NCBI's taxonomy places the organism in Eukaryota, Viridiplantae, Streptophyta, Magnoliopsida, Poales, Poaceae.
UACGAAUACAGUGUGUAGCAUCUGCAUUCCAAGAAGGACCUUACUCUAUUCAUUCUGUCCAUCUGCAUUUCUGAUGUGAGGCAUUUUAUUUGUCUCACUCUCUUUUUUCCCCCUUUCUGACAGUGCUUUUGUGAUAUCAGGGAGAUUGCGAUGCACUAGCUACCGCUCUUGUCUCCACACCAUGCUCUUGUGGCUAAGGGAUGAAGAUAUGGGUGGAAGGGAAUCAAGACGCACAUAUCAUAGUUUAUCUGCAAGAGAGACUCCAGUCUCAUUCUUUGUGCUACUGUGGAGCCCAAGGCCAAAUUGCAGAGCUCUAAUCAUAACACGCAAUGAUGAAACACCACCUGGUUCAUGCUUAAUUAUCGUCGUCCUCACGUCCAUCUUAAACAAAUGCUCAUAUUCGGCUCGCCAAGUUGGAGAUAACUAAAAAUUAAGAACUUUCAGCCUUGCUGAUCCAUGGCUUUUGUAGCUACUAAGAAUUAAAAAACUUUCUGCCUUGCUGAUCCAUGGCUUUUGUAGCUGUAGCUGCAGCUGCAGCAGCAGCAGCUUGGGAUUCCAUUUCAAUGGUUGCUGCCGUUUCGUACCAUCUCGUCCCUGUCCGUCCUCUCUCAGGAACUCAGAGUUGCAUCAGCCUGAUGCUAGCCCCAUGUCAGCUGGGAAACACUGCUGACUUGUCUGAAUCUAGCCACACGCAGCUGCGGACGACGGCGAGCCGCCGCUACGUGACAUGCCGGUCGCCCUCCCCGGUGAGGACUAUCCUGACCGCCGUCGUCGUCGUCGUUGCCCUCCUCCUCCUCCGGCUGCACACCACCUGUGAACGAAGAAGGCGGCUUGCACUUGCACAUGCACAAUUUACAGCCCUGGCCUGACCAUGACAGGUUUCUAACCAUCCAAAUCAAUCCUGCUGAGAAAUUUUCUGAUUUUUCCUUUUCUUUUCGUCGUCUUCAGCAGCGACGAGCGAGCCGCCGACGACGAACGUUUCAUGGAGCGUGAUACUGUUUGGAGCACGUAGCGUAAGAGUUUUGUUUUUAUGUGAAGCAUUUUCAUAUGUUAAAUCAUAUGAUUUUUAUAUAGGGAGGUGUUGUGUGCUGGUUUUGUAUCUGAGCGUACGUAGUAUUGGCCUUGUUCUUGGAAGGUUGGUGGUAUGUGCCGUAUUGGAACGGGUUCACUGAGUGAGAGAGAGGGACAAGUUUGUUUUUUUGGUGGAUUUUUGGGAUGUGGUGCCGACUGAUUGGAUAUCAGGAAUAGUUUUUCUCCCCUCUUGCUACAGUCCUGUAAAUAGAUAAUCAGAUUACUUAUACCGACUUAGAGGUGAACCUUCCCCA